This 9884-nucleotide long non-coding RNA is filed under the name Homo sapiens (human). RNAcentral describes it as "non-protein coding lnc-LARP1B-1:23". The record is from RNAcentral. Lineage: Eukaryota; Metazoa; Chordata; Mammalia; Primates; Hominidae.
CUUCCUAGGCCUGCGUUCGCGUCCGCAAACUCCCGCCUCCUUGCGCUCCCCCCGCCCGGGAGCUUCACGUGCGCCUUGGCGGCCGCGGGGGCAGGUCCGGGCUGGACGCCUGGCGGAGGACGCGGGCAGGUGGCUUGUGGGAGGCUGGGGCAUAGUUGAGCUGCAAGGCGCAAACCGAUGAGGGGCGUCUGCUUUUCACCAGGGCGCCGUCGCUUUUGUCGGGAAACCGGCAGCGUAGGCGCGCAGACCGGGAAGCGGCAAGAAGAUUUGGCCACGAGCUGGGGUCUUCCUGGAACGGAGAGAAAGCACGGAACCCGCACCGGGCUUCUCUGGCAUCGGCAGUCUACGUGCUCCUCGCGCUGGCACCGAGCAGCCACUCCCCGCUGGGUUUGGCAAAGGCUGCUCUUGUAGAAUUUUAAAGGAUUUAGAGUCUCAUUAUUCCUUGAAUCAUAACUUCUGCGGCCGUAGGGAAGUGGACAGGUUGAGGUGGUCUUUCUAUUCGUCAUUCACUCUUAUUUGCAGGUUCUGUUUCAUGUACUUGGACGUCUUUUAGCCUCUCACACCUUGAAAUUCUAGUGUGAAAAAGUGACCUCUGAAGUCUCACGCACUCAACUCGUUUGACGAACUCGUUUGACGUGUUCUCUCUUGCCCUUUGUUGUCUGUUGUCUUGAGUCUCAUAGAAUAGGUUUGAACCUUUCACUGUCGGUUUUGUAGGAGUCACUGAGGAUAUUGACGAGGCAAGUGACAGGGUCGACACUCUUGUAGAGAGGCUGUAUAGCAACCAGGUGUCUGAAGGAUUAGAGGCUGGGGAAAGAGUGGGAAAGCAGUUAGUAGGCUAGGGUAUUUGUGCGUGAGGUGAGGAGACUCAGAGCUAGGGGAGACAUUAGAGCAGGGGUUGGCAAACAUUUUUUGUAAAGGGCCCGAUCAUAUUUUAAGUCUCUGCCUUAACUACUCAGCUCUACCUUGUAACGAGAAAGCAGCCAUAGACAAUACUUGAAUGAGUGUAGCUGUCUUCAGUAAAACUAUGGACAUUGAAUUUUUAAUAUAAUUUCAGGUAUGAAAUAUUCUUUUGAUUUUUAAGAAAAUCAUUGAAAUAUGUAAAUUUUUUUUUUUUUAGUUCUGGAGAGGUGCAAAAACAACUUAUAAGCCAUAUUGCUGAGCCCUGCAUUAGAGGUACCUGAGGGAGAGCGACACAAUUGGUAGUAAAUGACCAUAUACUCUAUCCUUCAAUAUGGAACACUUUUGGAAGUAAAGUAGGGCAUUAAUAAUUAUAGCCAGAGACCAGGAGUUAUAUCAGUUUUAUCCCAGGCAAACCUAAAGGAAUAGUCACCUUAAGGUUAAGGGUUAGGAGAAGUCAAAAUUGCUUUAGGACUUGGUAACAGAAAAUGGGAGGUGCCAGUGAUGGAAAUAGGAAGAUAAAGAAGAAACUGGUUUUGAGGAGAAGAUAGCUGUAGCAGUCCCAAGAGCUGUAUACAGUUGAGACAACAUUGAUAGGAAGGAAGAAAGCACCCCAGAAGCAGGCCACUCCUUAUAUCUUAUUGACCAGAACUGGGCUAUUAGCUGUCCCUAAAGCAGUAACAGACAAGGAGCAUGGGACAUCCAUGAUUGCCUAGUGUUUAUCUGGCUUUUUUAAUUCUUAUUCAGGACUGUGUUGAGCAUUGCUGGACAUUUACCAUCUCUGGUUCCUUCCAGCUAAAUGUCAGUACCACACCUCAGGCAUUGUGACACCGUAAAUCAACCGUUUUUCCCUCCCACCCCCCAGAGGUGUGGUACUGGUUGAGAACCAGUAGCUUAGACCCUCAGGAUUUACCUUGGGGCUGAAUUAGUGUGUGUAGGUUUCUUUUCCAGUUGGUUUGGAGGGAAGAGAGGAAUUGGACAGUAUUAAAGUUCUGCUGUCAAGGAAGUGGGCUGGGGAAUGUUGGGUAGCUAACCAACAUUGGCUGCCACGUGAAGUAAAAAAGUUUUCCUUUAUAUCCUUGAUAAAAUAGUGUCUCGACUUCUUCACACUUGAAGCCUUCCCAAAACCCCAGCUUUUUUGAUUCUCAUUGUAAGCCCCUUGAACUGGACUAGUUGGAAGUUCUUAUUUUCCACCCUAAGUAACAAGCUCUUGUCCCAAUAGGAUACUCUUGCUUUGAGUACUGCAAUAACUUUCCAAUUGGUGACUUGCCGUCAGUCUUUUCCUAUUUCAUUCCUACACGAAGAGACUAGAACUGUGUUCUGAUUUCCUUUGCUCAGACACCAAUCUCCAGGGGUGCUCUGUAAUUUGAAGAGGACAACUCAGAAAGCACUCAAGGGCCUCCAUAAGUCCCUGAGUGGCUUCCCUGCCUUCCCGUUCCCCAGCAAACAAUCCCUUGGAUACCCUCUAUUAAAUGAUACGUUUCCCCUUACAAUACCUAGUCCCUUGCCCCAUAUAUGCUAUGUGUAUUGCACAGUCUAGGACUUGACUCAUGCUGUUUCCUCACGGAGCAUGCCCUUCUUAUUUCUAACCAUACAAAUUCCAUGACCUAUCCAUUCUUUCAAUUCUACUUCCACCUGAGGCCUCUAUCAGCCCACAUUAACCUACCUUCUUUGAAUUUCUGUGUGUUCCUUACCUGUACCACCCAUUUUGGCCUUUUAUUUUAUGCUCUUCUUGACUAUUCUGUUAUUGAAACUGUCCUUUAGAUCCCAAGAUUUCUACUUUUUCCCUGCGGAUGCUUUUUUAUUUUUUUUAUUUUUGACUUCUUUCUACCCUCCUUUUCCUCUUACAUCCCUGCUUUGCCUAGAGGACAUCUACAAGAAUCGUCAUGUACAUUCUUUUCUCCUGUUGUUAGCUUUUUUCCCCUGACACUUCAUCUAUUUACUGAUUUACUUGUAAAUCUCUGGAAGAUAUUAGUACUAGCCACCAAAUAUUUCUAUUUCUUUUUCCACACACGUAGAUUUGGAUUUCCCUACUCCUUUUACCUCAAGAAUGGCCAAUGAAAUGUGAUUGGAAGUGACUUGUGUCAUUUCCAAAUAAAAGCUUUAAGAGCCUGUGGACAUUUAUCCUGCGCUGUUUCUUCCUGCCAACAGUGAUGAAAUAUUUUAAUUAUCUAUUGUCCCAUGACAAAGCACCUUAAAUCUUAAUGGUUUAAAACAGUCACCAUUUUAUUAUGUGUAACAGUUUUGUGGGUUGACUAGGCUCAUGGGCAGUUGUCUAAUCUUGCUCAGGGUCUCUCAUGUGGUUCCAGCCUGGUAUUGUUUGGGGCUGGAGUUUUUGGAGGCUCAACUAGGUUGCUAGAGUAGCUGAGCUUUUCUAUUUACCCAUGCCGUUCCAAAGACUCUCUGAUUCACAUGGCUUCUUCAGCAGAGUAGCCUGACUUCUUUCUUGCAUGGUGGCUUAGGAUUCUCAAAUGCAAUAAAAGCAAAAACUUCGAGGUUUUGUAAGUCUUAGGUCUGGAAAUGACAUGUUGUAUUGGUAAAAGCAGUUACAGGGCCAGCUCAAUUUUAAGGGGAGAGGAAAUAAACACUUGAUAGGGGUGGAGGGAGAGUGACAAAGAAUUUGUGGCCAUCUUUAUUACAAAAAUUUUUGUCAACCACAGAGUUACAGGAAAAUGUGGCCAUCUUUAAUCACUACUCCAACGAUGUUUCAAAUUGAGUGGGCUUCCAUCAGCCAGGGUCUCGGAGACAGGACAAAGUGGAAAACAGCUCCCAAAUAACAUACCUAGGUAUAUGAAUAAGAAAUACAUCUCUGCUGUCCUGAGUCACUUAGCUAUUUGGAGUUGUUUGGUAUCAACUUUUGCAUACUAAUAUAAAAAUUGGUACUGGAAAUAGGGUGGUGCUAUAACAAAAAUCUAAAAUAUGAGUCACUGACAUAUAUAAUAAUUGAGUUAGAAAUACUAGUGGUUGGUUGUUAGGCAGCAUCCAGCUUUGACUCACUUAUGCAUUUCCCAGUGAACCUAGCUCAGAAGUUUGCACCAUGAUAUUCAAUAAAUAAUUCUUAAAUAAGAGAGAUUGUUUCUUGUAAUUUUUCCCUAUUUUAGGGAAAAACUUUUUUUUUUUUUCCAUAUCACAUUUUUCUUGAAACAUUGGAGUGCCACGAACAUAUCAUUUGAUGCUCUGUUUGAGUGCCACCAGUGAGUUUCCCGAUGUUUAAGUUUGGCUCGUGGGCAGCCCACCUUCUUCCUCUCCACUUUCUCUUGGGAGCCAUCCUGCUCAUGGAAAGUGUGCUUUCUCCUCUGCUACCUCACACAAGUUUCAAAGGAGCUUGCUCCUGCCAGGGGAGGCUUGGGGUAAGCCAAACAGCAUCAGCUCCCCGGGGGAAGGGAAAUUUCAGGUUUGGAGCUAAGUUCACUUCCAGGGAGUGACAAAGCCUGUUUGAACUUUAAUUCACAGAGUAAAAGAGUUCAAUGUUGGCCAUUAAUGAUUUGGACUUUAACAUGAAGUUGGUACUGAUUACUUUGGGCCAUAAUUUAGAAGGACAGAGUGAUUUAAUCUCUGAACUUUUAAUUUCUCUCUGGAAAAUUAAUACUGGGAGAGGGUUAAAAUCAAAUUGAGAACAUCUUGUUGGUUCUUAGUUAUUAAAGUAUUUGAUCACAUUUUAGAAAUUCUGAUAACUUUGGGCAAGCUGACAGGACAUAGUUUGAGAUGGCGAUAGAACAUAUUGUGAAUUACAGCCUUGGAUACAGAAUAGCAUUGGAACUGAUUUAAUCGAUAAAUUGUUCUGACCCAUUCAGGGCAUUUUGGGGACAGACUCUACAGUUUACUAGUGGCCCCAGGACAUCCUGCAAAAGAGGUGAAAUCAGUAUUGGAGAAGUGGUCUCAUGAAGAUGGGAGCACGACUACUACAAUUGACUGCUGACUUCUCACCCAAGGAAGUAACUGUAUCCCAGCCUAAUCUCAGUGGAUAAGCCCACAGGGUUAAGGAGUAAUCAUCAUGCUCCAUUUCGUUUUUGAGCCAUCUUCAGCCUUUGAGUCCUUAAGCUUUUUGGAGACAGUUUGUGGAGAAGGUCCUCACAACAUUGUGCAACAAGUGUGAAAGAUGUAGUCUCCAUUUACGGCUACUGAAAUAGGCUGAGAGAGGGUGAAGAAACUGAGGCUUGGAGGGUCCGAAUAACUUGCCCAAUAUCACAGAAAAGAUGUUCAAGAAAAAGAACAACUUCAGUGGAAGAAGAAGAAGAUAGGAGCCCAGGUCCUGUGUUUCACCAAGACAGCCGUGCAAAGCAGAUGCUGCCAAAAAGGUGCAAAGUGGUUUGUCAGCUCUUCUGCAUGUUCUAACAAAUUAGACAUGCAUCCCAAAAGGUUUCCUAGACUUUCCAUCACCACCAGUGAAUUCUGAGUGACAAUAGUGUGGAAUUUGGAAGAAUGGAAGAGAAACUGAAGUGGAGAGAUGGUGAAAGAGAAGAAAAAAUGAAGAAAGAUGCUUGCAAAAAUACUGCUGUGGGUCCUGAGAUGAGGAUUCUGGGAGGGCUGAAAUGGAUGCCCCUGACAGCUCCCUUUGAGUUCCUGUUCAUCUGAAGUACACCAGCUUUCUAGAUAUGCUGUCACUUUCCUUCUGCAGAGCCACAGUGGUGUCCUGUCUUCUCAGACCUCUUCUCACCUCAAAUCACUUAGGACUCGGCCACCAGACAGAUUUGGGAUUUCAGAACUUUUCAGAUGUUAGAAAGUUCUUUUCUAAAUGUGAUGAGGAAUUACGGAAUCAUAAAAUGGAAGCAGAGUUAAACUCAGACAUGUGGGCACUCAAGGCAAUUAGGAGCUUUCUGCGAUGAGAAAGGGAUCAGACUGAUCCUUAAGACUUUAUGCAACCCCAGAGUAUUGCAGCCACCUGCAUGCCGAAGGUGUCAAGAGUGUUCUCACUGCUGCCUAUAGGAGGGUCUUCAGCCUCCAGUGAUCCAAAGUACCAGGCUGACCUGUGACUGCUUCGGCCAACUGAAUAGGGAAGAGUGAUGCUGUGCUGUUUCCAGGCCUGUUCUUUAAAAGUACUUGGAAGCUUCUGCCUUGGCCUCUUUGUGCCUGAGUUGCUGUAUAAGAAUCUGACUACCUUGCUGGAGAGACCUUGUGGAGAAGACUUGACCUUAUAUGCAGAGGUAGAGGGGCCCUGGUUAGUCCAGCCAUCUAGCCAUCCUGUCAAAAUAGCAGAUCCAUUUCCUGCCCUUCUUUUAUUCUACUCUGUAUUACAGCCAACCACAUUUCCAGGCUCCCUUGUCCUCUGCUAUCUAGGUGAGUUUUGUCAGUGGAAGACAUUGGUGGAAGGUUGGAUGCUUCUUCUUCUAGCAUCUCUGGUGGUGGCUGUGUUUCCUCCCUGACUCCAGCUCCCACUGGGUGUCAUUCACUUUGUGGUUUUGGUGCUUGCCCAAUGGCCUGGCUUCUGAGCCCUGCUUCUGCAGCCCAGGGAGAGUAGCAGCAGUCUGCUGUUUUUAGUGUCUGGGUUGCCACUCUUUUCCUGUUUGACCUCUCUGGGCUUCCAUGACCCACAUAAGUCAUUAAAUUCCCUCUGUCAAAAAGACUUAGGUUCCUGUUUCAUGACUGGAUGCUGACUGAUAUUGUUAUUACCAUUGUAACUAUUAUCGUUGUUAUUGUUUUUAUUAUUUUAUACUGCCAAUGCCUGUUUAAAUUUACCCAUGUGUUUUCAAAUUACUUUGAUCACCUUGCAUUUUGCAUUCCACUUCUAUACUUUUGGUUAAAGUUUUCUUCUUUUUGCAACAUAUCCCUAGCAUUUAUUUCUAUAAAGGUCUGUGUUUUAGAUAACUUACAGAUUCAAAAUUUUAAAAUAUGGCUUUUUGUCAUUUACUUAAGAUCUGUAUGCAAGAAGAAAUGAAAAAGAUGAACAGGUAGAGUCCAGGACUACCUACCACAGCUCAGGUCAACAUUAAUUUUAUGAUUUAAUUAAUUCCAUAAAUUCUCUUUUCUGUAUGAAUAUAAGGUUCCUCCCUCCCUGUACUCACACAUCUACCUCUUCUAGGAGUUGCCUUGGGAUCCACAAAGAAAUUGAGGUGGUCCAGUACUCAUAAGCCAACAAACUUCAAAGGAGAGUCAAAUGUACAUUUUCAAAAUAAGAGUACUGAAAAGCAUUGAAAUAAACACACAAAAAGAGAUUCAAAUGUACAUCUUAAAAGGAGGAGGAGAUUCUUUGAAGAAGUAGGGGAAUAUGACGUUGAAAGUCUCUGAAGAGGUUGUGAUAGUUGUUUAAGGGAGUAGAACAUUAAAACAUUUUUGUCUGUUCAAUCUUAAUUUUUAAAAAUGAUAGCAUAGAGUUUGGCCAAUUAUGGAGGGGCUGAUUUCAUCACUAUCAAUGAGCAGUAAACUUUCUUGGUCUUUUAUUUGGGGAAUGUAUUUAUUUUACUUUCACUUUUGAAUGAGACUUAGCUGAUGCAAUGGACUGAAUUGUGUUCCUCCAGAAUUUGUAUGUUGAAGCUGUAAGGGCAAAUGUGACUGUAUUUGGAGGCAGGGCCUUUAAAGAGGUAAUUAAGGUUAACUAAGGUCAUAAAGAUGGGGCCUAACCCAAUAUCACUGUCCUUAUAAGAAGAGACACCCGGGAUGCAUUUGCACAGAGAAAAGGCCCCAGGAAGACACUGCAAGAAGAGGGUGCUCUUCAAGUCAGGGAGAAACCAAACCUACUAACACUUUGAUCUUUGACUUCUGGGCUCCGUAACUGUGAAAAAUAAGCUUCUGUUGUUUAAGCCACCUAAUUUGAGGUAUUUUGUUAUGGCAGCCCUAGAAAACUAAAUACAGCUGGGUAUAGAAUUCUAGGUUGAUGAUUUUGCUUUUAUAGUAUUUUUAUAAUAUUUUGAGAUGUGUGUCUUUGAAGUUCUGCAGUUGCAUUAUAUUGUGGCUUGCUUUGGAUUUGUUACAUUUAAGCUUUAUUUAUCCUUCCUGGAAUUCAUUACAGUUUUUGAACUUCAGGAUUCAAGUGUUUUAAUCAUUGAUGAAAACAUUUCAACCAUUAUCUCUUCAAGUAUUGCCUGUCUUAUUUUCCUCUAUUUCGCAUUCUUGGAAUUAAAUCUGUUGGUUCUCCUUUUCCGUCUUCCAUGUCCCUUAAUCUUCCAUAUUUUCCAGAUCUUUAUAUCUCUGUGCCUAUUGAGUAAUGUCUAAAAUCUGUUUUCCAGUUUAUAAAUUAUCUUGCUAUAUCAAAUCUGCUAUUUAACCUACUCAUUUAAGUUUUCAAUUUCCUUGACAUAUACCUAUGUGAAUGGGUGGGUUUUUACUUAGACUACCUUUUCAUGUAGAAUAUGUAGACUACCUUUUCAUGUAGAACCUAGCUUCUAUGCAAGGUUCUCAAUUCCAAUUUCCUGUCCACUUGGGCCCAGUGCUUACCUCAUGUUUCCACAUGAGCGUGAAAUCACAAGCCCUUGGGUGAACAGAAUCAGUAAUCACUGGUCGGGUGCAGUGGCUCAUGCCUGUAAUCCCAGCACUUUGGGAGGCUGAGGUAGGCGGAUCAUGAGGUCAGGAGUUUGAGACCAGCUUGGCCAACAUGGUGAAAUCCUGUCUCUACUAAAAAUACAAAAAAAAAAAAAAAGUAAAUAAAUAAAAUUAGCUGAGCAUGGUGGCAUGCGCCUGUAAUCCCAGCUACUUGGGAGGCUGAGGCAAGAGAAUUGCUUGAACCCAGCAGGUGGAGAUUGCAAUGAGCCGAGAUCACCCCACUGCACUCCAGCCUGGGUGACAGAGCGAGACUCCAUCUCAAAAAAAUUAAUAAAUAAUAAUAAUAGUCACCCUUCCACCUCCAUAGCACAGCUACGUCAUGAACUGACACCUUAAAACUUUGUUCUGUUUUCAAUUAUCUCUUGGUUUCUGAUGCCUGGGUAUUUCUUUUUCUUUCUUGAGAGCUUAAGCAUGAAUAUAAAACAUUUCAAAUUUUAUAUUUUAUCCAGUAUUUCUAGCUUUUUAAUAGUGAGAUUUAUCUUACUCUCCCAUUUUAUUAAAACAGAAAGUCUUGAGUAACAUUUUAAUACUGAGAAAAAAAGCCUCAUUAUUAGUUUUAGAAAAAGAGAGACAAUCUGUGUUGUUCUGGAACCAAGACAAAGUUCUAGAAGAUUCUCUCUUGAUCCUUAAACAGCAUAGAAAAACCAGGUAAGUUGACUAUGUUCACGUUUAGGAGUAUGAUGGCCAAUGGAUCCAAAACCUAUCCUAUAUCUACAUGUUGGUGGCCACAUUAAUCUGACAUCUGACAGCAAGAGCGAUGAUUGGGUUCACUGGAAAUCUUUGUGAAGUACGAGUGAAGUCCUUGUGAAGUCAGAGUUUCCUCUUCAUGCCUCUACUCCUAUGCAGUUUGACCUCUCAGUGUGCAGCUGGUGAUAGAUGGAAACCCUUGUUCAUAAGCUUUGUGGCACUGUCGGCAGGAUGAGGGGACUUCUGGAUCCUCACUGGUCACUGUGGCAGAGUGGUUGGUGUUGUCUGCUCCCUAGACAGGAACCCACUGAAGAAUCUGACAUUUUUUGAUAUGCUGGCAUUCAUUGUUACAGCCCAUCAUCCCAGCCAUCAAUCCAGGACAUGGGGUCUGUGCCCACGGUGGGAAGGAGGAGGGGGAAGCUGGCUUUGUUCUGACGUUGGGCUUCUUCUGCUCCACCAGUACUUUCUGUGGGGGAAAUAGGUAAAGAAAUGGCUGUUCAGAUGAGAAGAUGUGUCAGUAAACUUUUGCUACAGUGAUGCUGCAAAACAAAUCACUGGUGACUUUCAGUGGCACACAGCAAUAAACAUUUAUUUAGCUCAGGGAUUGACAAUCUUUUUUUUUUUUUAAAGGGCCAAAUAGUAAAUAUUUUAGGUGUUUCAGGCCAUACAGUCUCUGAACUCUGAACUUGUAGCACAACAGUAGCCUUAGAUGCUAUGCAAAUGGAGGAGCAUGACUGUGUUCCAAUAAAACUUUAUUUAUGGACACUAAAAUUGGAAUUUCAUGGAAUUUUUAUAUGUUAAGAAAUAUUAUACUUUGAUUUUUU